UUUGCCUACGGGGCGCAGCAGUGGGGAAUAUUGGACAAUGGGGGGAACCCUGAUCCAGCGACGCCGCGUGAGCGAAGAAGGUCUUCGGAUCGUAAAGCUCUGUCCUCGAGGAAGAAGGAAGUGACGGUACUCAAGGAGGAAGCCCCGGCUAACUACGUGCCAGCAGCCGCGGUAAUACGUAGGGGGCAAGCGUUAUCCGGAAUUAUUGGGCGUAAAGAGUACGUAGGUGGUUUUGUAAGCGCGGGGUGAAAGGCAGUGGCUUAACCAUUGUAAGCCUUGCGAACUGCAAGACUUGAGUGCAGGAG
Molecule: ribosomal RNA, 305 nt
Filed under: uncultured bacterium
Lineage: Bacteria
Description: bacterial SSU rRNA
Rfam family: Bacterial small subunit ribosomal RNA
Source: RNAcentral